This 653-nucleotide long non-coding RNA is filed under the name Gossypium barbadense (sea-island cotton). Its description in RNAcentral is "long non-coding RNA (GBAR_LNC018161)". The record is from RNAcentral. Lineage: Eukaryota; Viridiplantae; Streptophyta; Magnoliopsida; Malvales; Malvaceae.
GGGUUUGCAUGGGAUCAUAAAUGAAUGUGACUGGAAAUUGCAAGGUAUAGUGAACGGAAUCGAUAUGGAGGACUGGAAUCCACAACAUGAUGUUCACCUCAAAUCAGAUGGUUAUACUAACUACUCCAUCGAAACACUGCAGCCUGGCAAGGCUCAGUGCAAGGCAGCCUUGCAGAAGGAGCUCGGGCUACCUGUUCGUGAAGAUGUCCCACUGAUUGGUUUUAUUGGGAGACUGGAUCAUCAAAAGGGUGUCGAUAUAAUUGCUGAGGCAAUUCCCUGGAUGAUGGACCAGGAUGUGCAAUUAGUCAUGUUAGGCACUGGCAGACAGGACUUGGAAGAGCUGCUUAGGCAGUUUGAAGGCCAACAUCAUGACAAAGUCCGGGGGUGGGUAGGGUUUUCUGUAGAGACAGCUCAUCGUAUAACAGCUGGGGUGGAUAUUUUACUCAUGCCAUCAAGAUUUGAACCCUGUGGACUGAACCAACUGUAUGCUAUGUGCUAUGGAACAAUUCCAGUUGUCCAUGCUGUCGGUGGGUUGAGGGACACAGUGCAGCCUUUCAAUCCAUUUGAAGAGUCGGGGUUUGGUUGGACAUUUGACAGCGCUGAUGCAAGUAAGUUGAUACAUGCGUUAGGGAACUGCUUGUUGACAUAUCGUG